CAGUCGCCGCGGUAAUACGAAGGGUGCAAGCGUUAAUCGGAAUUGCUGGGCGUAAAGCGCGCGUAGGCGGUGAGUUAAGUCUGCUGUGAAAUCCCCGGGCUCAACCUGGGAAUGGCAGUGGAUACUGGCUCGCUAGAGUGUGUCAGAGGAUGGUGGAAUUCCCGGUGUAGCGGUGAAAUGCGUAGAGAUCGGGAGGAACAUCAGUGGCGAAGGCGGCCAUCUGGGACAACACUGACGCUGAGGCACGAAAGCGUGGGGAGCAAACAGGAUUAGAUACCCCAGUAGUCCCUGUCUCUUAUAC
RNAcentral lists this ribosomal RNA (301 nucleotides) under uncultured bacterium. RNAcentral's name for it is "partial 16S ribosomal RNA". It matches the Rfam family "Bacterial small subunit ribosomal RNA", at positions 509 to 807 of the family's 1533-position model. The record is from RNAcentral.